AGGCUCAGCAGUUAAGAACACUGGCUGAUAAUCAUGAGGGUGGUUUUCUUGGGGCGAGGCUCACCCAUUGCACUCUGGAUGUGCUGACCCCUGUGAUCUCCCCAAAUUCGGGAAACUUGACUGCAUAAUUUGUGGUAGUGGGGGACUGUGUUCACGCUCUCCCCUG
Mastomys coucha (southern multimammate mouse) is the source of this 166-nucleotide small nuclear RNA. RefSeq annotates it as U1 spliceosomal RNA. The record is from RefSeq and is a predicted model, not a curated record. The transcript has a single exon. NCBI's taxonomy places the organism in Eukaryota, Metazoa, Chordata, Mammalia, Rodentia, Muridae.